CAGAUGUGUAUAAGAGACGGAUGAGAAGCUUCGACCAAGGUUCGACUCGAGCGAAGCGAGAGAACGUUGCCGCAGGCAAUGGCCCGAAGGCGAGGCGCUUUAGCGCCGAGUAAUCCUUACCCCACCACUG
RNAcentral lists this small RNA (130 nucleotides) under Klebsiella pneumoniae. RNAcentral describes it as "RtT sRNA". It matches the Rfam family "RtT RNA". Rfam says of the family: This family represents a bacterial cis-regulatory element known as RtT RNA. The exact function of RtT is unknown although it is thought that it may be involved in changing the cellular response in relation to amino acid starvation. Lineage: Bacteria; Pseudomonadati; Pseudomonadota; Gammaproteobacteria; Enterobacterales; Enterobacteriaceae. The record is from RNAcentral.